GGACUUGAAUUCCAGCAGAACUGACUUGUCAAGAAGCACUCCCCCGUAAAUUGAAGUGCAAAACCAGAGAAGAAGGAAUAUAAGAACUUCUGGAAAUGAAUUUCUUCUCAUUUCCUCAAGAAAUGACGACAAAGAACGAAAACCCAGUGAGCCCAAAACCCUUCUUCUACAACUCACAAAGCAAGAAUUUCUUGGUCUCUUCAUUCUUCUUCUUCUCCUCU
RNAcentral lists this unclassified non-coding RNA (221 nucleotides) under Hevea brasiliensis (rubber tree). Lineage: Eukaryota; Viridiplantae; Streptophyta; Magnoliopsida; Malpighiales; Euphorbiaceae. The record is from RNAcentral.